AACCCUUGCCAUUAAGCCGGCUUCUCAAAUGAUCCUCCUUGAGGGGGUCUCCUUUUGAGAUAGUGUGCAACGCAGGGGGACAGCAUCUUCUGGUGUGUGUAUGAUUGUUUUAUCAGACAUUGGAAGACAAUCAAAGAAAAUCCAGAAACA
Phlebotomus papatasi is the source of this 150-nucleotide small nucleolar RNA. RefSeq annotates it as small nucleolar RNA snoR639/H1. Lineage: Eukaryota; Metazoa; Arthropoda; Insecta; Diptera; Psychodidae. The transcript has a single exon. The record is from RefSeq and is a predicted model, not a curated record.